This is a non-coding RNA of Prevotella sp. CAG:279, 399 nucleotides long. It matches the Rfam family "transfer-messenger RNA". From Rfam's summary of the family: Bacterial tmRNA, also known as 10Sa RNA or SsrA, is named for its dual tRNA and mRNA-like properties. Its role is to liberate the mRNA from a stalled ribosome. NCBI's taxonomy places the organism in Bacteria, Pseudomonadati, Bacteroidota, Bacteroidia, Bacteroidales, Prevotellaceae. The record is from Rfam.
GGGGAUGACCGGUUUUGACAGCGUGUAGAGGUGGUAUGUAAGCAUGCAGAGCGAUGAUGGCUAUGCUCUAUAAUCUCAGACAUCAACAAUUUAACUGGCGAAAAUAACUACGCUCUCGCUGCCUAACCGAAGCACAGUAAGUUAGCUUUAUUUCUGCCACAGUGGCAGAAACGAGACAUCACCCGAUUGCCUUGCUCUGAGACGUUUCGAUAAGGUGGUGCUAAUAAAAUCGGAGCUGGGACGGCUUGUUCUCCGGUAGCUGUCCGAAAUUUUAGGAGAUAAGCCUUGGGUUGGUAGUUUUGAUCCUGCCCACGGUCGAAAACCAAGUCAAAACUAAGCAUGUAGAAAGCAUAUUAGUUCCACGUUUGGACGAGAGUUCGAAUCUCUCCAUCUCCACCC